CCAAAUGUUCAUUAUAACUCAUUACAAACCAAAAUAAUAAAGUACAUCAAAAGUAUAAAGAAAAUACAACCAAAGAAAGCUUGAUUUUGACUUCCUAUUUGAAUUAUGAGAUAGACCAACUCCAAGAUCACUGAUCCAAAACCUUUCUCCAAUUUGAGUGUAUCAGAGUUCCCUAAGAGCUUCGAUGGGACUUCGGGCAGUGCUCACACCUAACUUGUAUCACCAGAAUAGGGACAAGUGCAUUGUGGAAGAGCCAGCCCUCAAGUGUCCAAGUUCAAUGGGAGCUCAAUGUGCCCCAAGGCAAGGCUCACAAGAGGGGACGGAACUUAAGGUCUAAGAGAGAGUGCAGGUGAAGAAAUAGAAUUUUAAAGAAUUAAGACAGUAAAGAAUAGGGAGAGAAGUGCUUGGAAACAACCAUAAACAAGCCAAACAAAGGGUUCAGGAUUGGGGAAAUUUCCAAAGAGCCUAUGUGCUUAGGCACUAGCCAAUUCCGGGCAUGCACAACAAUAAAGAAUGUUGUUACGCUUAAGGAAUCAACAAGAAUACACUACAUAUGAUGGCAACAUAGAGGCUAUGAUUCCAGAGGAACCAAGUUUGAGCCAUAAACAAUAAUACUCAAUACUGCCUUGUCACAAACAAACCAUUGGCAUCAAACACAUUGGUGUAGGGGGUUUGGGAUUCAUAACAGGAGGAAAUUAUAGUAUGCUAAAGUAAACACUAAAUAAACACAAGCAGUAGGCAGACAUGUAAGUAAAGGUACAAGGUAAACACAUUGUUUGUGAGUGCUGAAAAUCUUAAUCAGGACACACCAGUUUCAAGGAAGCAAAAUACAGUAAAUGCAGUAGCAUGACUUGAAAAAACAAGCCACAGUACAAGUAACAAGAGAGAAUGCUUUUUGAAUGAGAGUAUGAGUUCAUAAAACUGAGUGUUCUUGUGUUUGUGUCAAUGCAAAAUCCAGAUAUUUAUAGUGUGAAAACAGGCAGAAAAUAAGGCAACAAAAUAAUUAUGGAACUGUGAUUAAUUAAAAAUCAAUCAGUAUAAGAACCUCAUUUAAUUAAGGAGUUUAAAAUUUGUGGUAAUGGGCAGAAAACUUUAAGGAAAGAAAUCAAGUAAGCAUCUUGUGCAUAAUAGGCAAUUAGGGGUGAAUACAUAGUGAUUUAACUAAGGGAAGAAUUAAUGAAUAAUCUUUGAAAUAUACAGUUAACCAAAUAAGAUAAGAAACAAAAUAAACCAACCAAUACAUAGUAAAGCAAGGAGUGAGGGAUUUGAAGUUAUAAAUAAACCAAGUCAGAAUUAGGAGAAUCGAAAGGCUAAGGGAAGGUUCUCAAAUCAACCCAAGAAUCAGGGAAAUCAGUAAAACAAGAAAAUAGUCAAUCAGACUCACACAAGAAGGUAUGAAAUUUCUCCCAAAUUGAAGGCCAUUUUAGAGGAAAACACAUCAUAUAAAAGAGUAUAUAAGUAUUAAGCGGGCAAGGCUGAACUUAGGACAAUGAGAAAUAGGUAGUCACAUAGGUCGAUUUCAGUUACUUAGUAACAGAGAAGAGAAAGUAUCAAAUAGCAUACCGAAGGGCCAAGUAAAAGACCUUAUAGAGUUUUAGCAGGAAGUUGAAAUCAUAUAAAGGAACAAAGAUUAAGAAAUUCAAUCGAACAGUAAAUGAAAAAUCUUUCAAAAACUCGAAUAGGUUCAAAGAAAUUAGGAUUUUGAAAACAAACAAGUUCAAAGAUGAAGAACAAGCAAAUCACAUAGCGAGUAGUCUCAAAACUCGAAUGAAUCCCCAAAAUUUAGUGUUUCUUUGUCAAUCGAGUAUAGAUAUGAAAAUAAGUAAAUUAAGCAGAAAUACUAACGAAAUAAGUUCAGAAAUCUUAAAUGGAACUAAGACUUUUAACAUGCAUAUUCUAGUAGAAGAACAACAUAAAGAAACACAAUAGAAGAACAACAUAAGAAACAUGGUAGAAGAACAACAUAAGAAACAUAGUAGGCAUGUUCUAAAAAAUCAGAAGAGUUUUGAAAUAAAGUAACAAAAAACCCUAGGUCAGAAAAGACAAACAUUCUGAAAGUAAAAUUUUGAAAGAAACUUUGAGAAAACAUUUAAAAGCUUGGAGAAGACACAAAUAUACAACGGAUCUAAAAGAAUCAGAAGAACCUCGAAUAUUAGGGUUUUAGAAGAAUCCUAUAUAGUGAGAAAUGCUUGGAAGGUCAUUGAUCUUAGUAGGAGAAGUCAAGAUAAGGCUUGAACAACCAUGGCUGGCCGGAGCAAGGUCGGAGACAGCUCUAGAACUCGAAUGAAACAAAAUCUGGGCCAAAAUUCUUCAAGGUUUGACCUCAAAAUCAUAGUAGCCAAGCAUGUAGGAGUCAUAGGAGGCAGGUACAUGCCUUUAAUGGGUUUGGAAGCAAUGGAUUCAGGCAGUUUUAUGGUGGAAGUAGAUAGAGGCGGCUACGGUUUCUGAGGGAGCCUGAGAGAGAAUUGAGAGAAGGGAGAAUUCAAGGGCAGCUGUAGAUGAAAAAUGACUAGGGUUUGGGGGUACAGAAUUAAAAAAGGAAAGGUUAGAUGGUGGUUGUUGAUCAUUG
Molecule: long non-coding RNA, 2569 nt
Filed under: Nicotiana benthamiana
Lineage: Eukaryota; Viridiplantae; Streptophyta; Magnoliopsida; Solanales; Solanaceae
Description: long non-coding RNA (NBEN_LNC035853)
Source: RNAcentral